Molecule: long non-coding RNA, 2877 nt
Organism: Mus musculus (house mouse)
Lineage: Eukaryota; Metazoa; Chordata; Mammalia; Rodentia; Muridae
Product: predicted gene, 26534
Exons: 2
Source: RefSeq, a predicted model, not a curated record
UGCUGGGAUUUGAACUCAGGACCUCUGGAAGAGCAGUCAGUGGUCUUAACUGCUGAGCCAUCUCUCCAGCCCCCUUUCAAUGAAUUUUCUAACCUAAAGUUCAAAUUUUUUUUGACAGCCUUUCCACAAAACAAUUCCAAAGGCCUAAAGGCCACAUGCUUAGAUUUAUCGCAGCAGCACCUGUUACUGGGAUUCCCUGACAGAGCACUCAUGUGUUUCCCAGGUCCAGGUUAUAGUCUAUCACAGCAGGGAAGUCCCUCCAGUUGGAAGGCGUUUGAGAACUGGUCACGUUCCAGUCACAGUCAAGAAGCAGACAGCAGUGAACGCAUCCUUCUGCUCAGUUCCUUCCCUACAUCCAUCCAGUCCAGGAUGCGGGACAGUUUUAUGUCAGCUUGGCACAGGCUAGAGUCGUCUGAAAAGAGAGACCCUCAGUUGAGAAAAAGUCUCCAUAUGAUGCUGCUUAGGGCAUUUUCUUAGUGACUGAAGGGGGAGGUCCCAGUCCACUGUGGGUAGUGCUAUCCCUGGGCUGCUGAGCCUAUAUUCUAUAACAAACCAGACUAAGCAAGCCAGUAAGAAGCACCCUCCAUAACCUCUGUAUCAGCUCCUGUGUCCAGGUUCCUACCUUGUUUGAGUUCCUUUCCUGACUUCCUUUGAUGGUGGACCAUGAUGUGGAACUGUAAGCCAAUAAACCUUUCCUCCUCCUCCCUUCUGAUCAUGUUUCAUCAUUGCAAAUAGUGUCUCUAAGACGCUAGCCAUCACAUGCCCAUAGAACAAAUCAGGGAAUCGCCAGCUGUGCCAUGGUACAUCCUUUAAUCCCAGUACUCUGGAGGCAGAAACAGGCAGAUUUCUGUGAGUUGGAUGUCAGCCUGGUUUAUAGAAUGAAUUCCAAGGCAGCCAGGGCUCCAAAGAGAAACACUGUCUACAAAACAAACAAACAAACAAACAAAAGAGGACUUCAUCUUCAGAUGACUGUAAAUUACAUCAUGUUGACAAUUAAAACUAAGCCUUAUAGCCCCGACUGGGAAUGGGCCAGUGCUGGGAUAGUUUACUGCUGACCAUAUGGGCAAUCAGAUAUGGGGUAGCCACAUUGCUGCUAAAAAUAAUAACGCACAUGUGGCUGUUCCAGGUCCUGCGCUCCAAGCCUUGCCUAUGCUGCAGACAUUUUUCCUUUAUUCCUUUCACCCUUCCUCCGUCUUUCUAGAUGACCCAGAGGUAAUGGGAAGGCUCUAACUGUGGUGCAUUGCAAAUGCUGACUCAGUUUCCUUCGUGGUCCAACACCUACCUGUUGGCUUCAUGUGCUGACCCAGCCAGACUACUUCUGGCUGACUAUGCUCCCUACUCCCCUAACACUAUGAUUUGUCUACUUCUGCCUUAUACUGCAAGUGCUAACUCUUCCCUGUCUAAUUACAGUAGGCAGUGCCAUCCCUGAGGGUCUGUAGAUAAAGCCUCAGCUAACAAGAUAUUCCUUGGGCAUUAGUUCCAAAGGGGAGAAAAAACCCACCCAUUUGGACUUUUAACUUAAUCAUGAUUUAAAACAAUUAUUACUAUUCACACAAACAUGUCUUUUUCUGAAUUUAGCAGCUUACUAAUUCAGGAUUCAAUUAUGUAAAUUAUUUAUUGUUUGCUUAUUUAUUUACUUAUUUAUGGAGAUUCUUAGGAAAGGAACCUUUUUCCGCUGUGAUAAAAACAGACUCAGAGAGGGGUGGUGGUUCAUACCUUUACUCCCAGCACUUGGGAAGCAGAGGCAGGUGAAUCUCUGAGAGUUCAAGGUCAGCCUGGUCUACAGAGUGAGUUCCAGAACAACCAGGUCUACACAGAGAAACAUUGUCUUGAAAAAAAUCAAAACCAUAAACCCCCAGAAUUCUCAGAUAUGCUUAUAGCAGAGAACAACUUUUAAUUUUGUGACUGAAUCCUGGGAGAGGGACAAUGGAGGUCACUGGCUUAAACCGCAUUGGGUAAAGAGUGAUCCUAGGAACAUGUGCAAUACAAACUAGAGCUUCGGAUUUGCCUACGGCUGUUCUCUGCCAUCCUAGAGGAUGCUUGGGGAUGCGAGGACAGGCUGGCUGAUUCCUGUUUGGGGAUGGAGAUGGCUCUGUGGGUAAAAGCACUUGUUGCCUUGCAGACCAGGUUCAGUCUACACUCAGUUUUCAGCACCCACAUAUAUGAAGGAUCUGACUUUCUCUUCUCACCCCUGAGGAUGCUAGGCAUAAAUGUGCCGCACAGAGAGUUCUGAGCCACCACUGCUCAGCUACAAAAACAAAACAACAUAAAACAACUGAAGAAAAGAAGAGGAGGAGGGAGAGAAAGAGGAAGAAGAGAAGGACAGUAAUGAAGAUAGGAUGAAGAACAGCUCUUUGUCACCUUUUGGACUCCAAUGCAUGCUCAGUGAAUUGGAAUAAUGUUGAUCUUUGGAAAUAUUUAACACAUGCCUGCUUGCAUGGGUGUAUGCAUGUGUGCAUGUAUGUGUGCGUGUGAGUGUGUGUUGUAGUGUAUGUGUUUAUGCACAUGAGCAGAUAGAGCCCAGAGGUAGAUGUCGGGUAAGUUUCCCACUAUUACUGCCAUCUUAUUUUUUUGCAACAGGGUCACUCAGUGAAUCAGGAUGUCACCAGACAGCUGGUUAGCAAGCUGCAGUAACCUGCCUGUCUCUGUGAGAAGUGGGCAUCAGAUCCCCUGGAAUGGAAUCACAGAUGGCUGUGAGCUACCUUGUUCUGGGAAUCACAUCCAUCUGGUCAAAUAUUAGAAGGAAUAUUAGAAAAAUUUCCUGUUGCUUUGGAAGUUAAAUGCACACAACACACACACACACACACACACACACACUAUGUAGAUGAUUUACUACUGUCAGUGGAACAAGAGAAUAAAAUUAUGAGCUCAACAGUU